GUCUGGAGUGUGCAGGGCCUUAACUCCAGCCAGCAGCAAAGCAGCAGCCAGUGCGACUGAGCCAGUACAGAGUGGAAGUAAGCUGUGCCAAGGAAAGGGAUGGAACAACUUACUUUCUCCCUGGAGCAAUGGAAGACCAGACACCAAACUGUGACUCUCUAAAUCAUAAUUAUGUCCCAGGGCUGGUGCAGGGCAGCAAACUACAAGGUGUCCCUUACAGAAGACUUUUUGUAGGUCACAGAUGAAAUUAGGCUCUCAGUUUUAGCAGUGUAAACCUGGAAUAGCUCCAGCAACGUCAUUAGUAAUGGAUAGAGCCUGCACCAUUAAAGUGAAUGGGAGAAUUGCUACCGACUGCAGGAGCAGGCCCAAUAUGAAUACAUGAGAGCAAGCGAAGAAGAAGAAUUGGAUUAUCCAGGAUCAAGAGUCCUGCUGGAAAGACCAAGAGGAAGUCUGACAAAAACUAAUGACCUGAUCCAUACACGGAGCCCUUGUUGACUUGAAUUGACAGCAGCUGAGCGUGGAGUUACUAAGAACAGAAAAUGUAGUCGGGGGGGAUGUUGUCAUCGUAUGCAUCCAUAAAGCACCAUACAUGUGACUUAACAAUAACUCCAGCAGGUGAAAUGGUUCGGGCCCUAUCUAUGUACUUACAUGACUUCCAUCACUGUUGCAUCUAAGCACCUAACUUCCUAUGUUCCCAAAAUAGACAGGUUUGGUCUGGGUAGUCUGUGUAGUGCUUGCUGCCCUGACCCCUCAGUCUUGGGGGCUGCUCUUGUCCACAGCUCUGAAGCAAGUAGCUGAGAGGAUAUUCCAUAGCCAGAUCCCACAGCUGUGGCAUUGCAGGCCCGGGUCCUGGGGUAAUAGAGACUGUGCAGUUGAUGCAUUUGAUCUCUGGCGAGGAAGGAGUAAAUGCUGGAUGCAUGGCACCCUGUGCCAGCUGGCUUGGGAGGAGCAACAUUGGCUUUGAUUGUGCAAGCAGGUGCCCACUUCCCCUCCUCAUCUAAUGGAGAGAGCUAGGGAACAGCUGUAAGCAGAGCAAAGUUAAAAAAAUAGAGGGAAAUAGGGAUUAAAAAAUAACUGGCUUGUCUGGCACGGGGAACUUGACAUGUUUUUCAUCUAAAUUAAAGAGAAAGUUGUGCUGUUGUUUUUCUGUCUGAAACAAUUGGCUAAUACAAGAGCUGCACAUUUUCGAGAAGUGAGAACAAGCCAUAUGUCUUCCAUAAAAACAUACUGAUACAGUUGAGCCUGCAAUGUAAGCUCUGUGGUAAAUCAUUUUUCUCAUAUGCCAUGGUUAAAGCAAGCAAUAUUUUUAUUUGCCAAAAUGUAUUUACAGCAUUGUAUUAUCAUUCAUCUCUGUCAGUUUUGCAUUUGUUAUCAUUGACACAUGGUAAAGUAGUUUCAAUUAUCUCUGAGCGCAAGAACUGAGAAUUUUUUC
Mauremys mutica (yellowpond turtle) is the source of this 1432-nucleotide long non-coding RNA. RefSeq lists it as uncharacterized. The transcript is spliced from 3 exons. NCBI's taxonomy places the organism in Eukaryota, Metazoa, Chordata, Testudines, Geoemydidae. The record is from RefSeq and is a predicted model, not a curated record.